CAGACGAACGCUGGCGGCGUGCUUAACACGAUGCAAGUCGAACGCGAAAGGGACUUCGGGUCCUGAGUAAAGUGGCGCACGGGUGAGUAACGCGUAGAUAACCUGUCUUCAUGUCUGGAAUAAUACGCCGAAAGGGGUACUAAUACCGGAUAUUCUUGCUUUUCAUAAGUUAUGCAAGCAAAGGUGGCCUCUGCAUAUGCUACUGCAUGAAGAGGGGUCUGCGUACCAUUAGCUAGUAGGUGGGGUAAUGGCCUACCUAGGCGACGAUGGUUAGCGGGUCUGAGAGGAUGAUCCGCCACACUGGCACUGGAACACGGGCCAGACUCCUACGGGAGGCAGCAGUGAGGAAUAUUGCGCAAUGGGGGAAACCCUGACGCAGCGACGCCGCGUGAGUGAAGGAAGGCCUUCGGGUCGUAAAGCUCUGUCAAGAGGAAAGAAGUGUACAAUGGCUAAUACCUGUUGUAUUUGACGGUACCUCUAAAGGAAGCACCGGCUAACUCCGUGCCAGCAGCCGC
This 515-nucleotide ribosomal RNA is filed under the name uncultured bacterium. RNAcentral's name for it is "bacterial SSU rRNA". It matches the Rfam family "Bacterial small subunit ribosomal RNA", at positions 28 to 518 of the family's 1533-position model. The record is from RNAcentral.